RNAcentral lists this ribosomal RNA (383 nucleotides) under uncultured bacterium. RNAcentral describes it as "bacterial SSU rRNA". It matches the Rfam family "Bacterial small subunit ribosomal RNA", at positions 29 to 414 of the family's 1533-position model. The record is from RNAcentral.
UUGAACGCUGGCGGAAUGCUUUACACAUGCAAGUCGAGCGGCAGCGCGGGGGCAACCCUGGCGGCGAGCGGCGAACGGGUGAGUAACACAUCGGAACGUACCCAGUUGUGGGGGAUAGCCCGGCGAAAGCCGGAUUAAUACCGCAUACGACCUGAGGGUGAAAGGGGGGGAUCGCAAGACCUCUCGCAGUUGGAGCGGCCGAUGGCGGAUUAGCUAGUUGGUGGGGUAAAGGCCUACCAAGGCGACGAUCCGUAGCUGGUCUGAGAGGACGACCAGCCAAACUGGAACUGAGACACGGGCCAGACUCCUACGGGAGGCAGCAGUGGGGAAUUUUGGACAAUGGGGGCAACCCUGAUCCAGCCAGUCCGCGUGAGUGAAGAAGG